UGGGAUUAGAUACCCUGUUAUUUAAAAUGUAAUUAUAAAGACUAAGGUAGUAUUAGAUAUGUUCUUUAAACUUAAAAAAUUUGGCGGUAUUUUAGUCUAUUCAGAGGAACCUGUUUUGUAAUCGAUAAUCCACGAUGGACCUUACUUAAGUUUGUUAAUCAGUUUAUAUACCGUUGUUAUUAGAAUAUUUUAUAAGAAUGUUAAUUUUCAUAAUUUUUUUAUAAAAAGUAUAUCAAAUCAAGGUGUAGCUUAUAUUUAAGUAUAAAUGGGUUACAAUAAAUUUAUUUAAGCGGAUAUAAAUUUGAAAUAUUUAUUAAAGAUGGAUUUGAUAGUAAAAUUAUAUAGAUUAAUAAUUUGAUUUUAGCUCUAAAAUAUGCACAAAUCGCCCGUCACUCUCUGA
This 400-nucleotide ribosomal RNA is filed under the name Stevenia deceptoria. RNAcentral's name for it is "partial small subunit ribosomal RNA". Lineage: Eukaryota; Metazoa; Arthropoda; Insecta; Diptera; Rhinophoridae. The record is from RNAcentral.